ACGGUAACAUUUCUAGCUUGCUAGAAGAUGACGAGUGGCGGACGGGUGAGUAAUGCUUGGGAACUUGCCUUUGCGAGGGGGAUAACAGUUGGAAACGACUGCUAAUACCGCAUAAUGUCUUCGGACCAAACGGGGCUUCGGCUCCGGCGCAAAGAGAGGCCCAAGUGAGAUUAGCUAGUUGGUAAGGUAACGGCUUACCAAGGCGACGAUCUCUAGCUGUUCUGAGAGGAAGAUCAGCCACACUGGGACUGAGACACGGCCCAGACUCCUACGGGAGGCAGCAGUGGGGAAUAUUGCACAAUGGGGGAAACCCUGAUGCAGCCAUGCCGCGUGUGUGAAGAAGGCCUUCGGGUUGUAAAGCACUUUCAGUUGUGAGGAAAAGUUAGUAGUUAAUACCUGCUAGCCGUGACGUUAACAACAGAAGAAGCACCGGCUAACUCCGUGCCAGCAGCCGCGGUAAUACGGAGGGUGCGAGCGUUAAUCGGAAUUACUGGGCGUAAAGCGCACGCAGGCGGUUUGUUAAGCUAGAUGUGAAAGCCCCGGGCUCAACCUGGGAUGGUCAUUUAGAACUGGCAGACUAGAGUCUUGGAGAGGGGAGUGGAAUUCCAGGUGUAGCGGUGAAAUGCGUAGAUAUCUGGAGGAACAUCAGUGGCGAAGGCGACUCCCUGGCCAAAGACUGACGCUCAUGUGCGAAAGUGUGGGUAGCGAACAGGAUUAGAUACCCUGGUAGUCCACACCGUAAACGCUGUCUACUAGCUGUGUGUGUCUUUAAGACGUGCGUAGCGAAGCUAACGCGCUAA
This 800-nucleotide ribosomal RNA is filed under the name Alteromonas sp. RNAcentral's name for it is "bacterial SSU rRNA". It matches the Rfam family "Bacterial small subunit ribosomal RNA", at positions 66 to 863 of the family's 1533-position model. Lineage: Bacteria; Pseudomonadati; Pseudomonadota; Gammaproteobacteria; Alteromonadales; Alteromonadaceae. The record is from RNAcentral.